GUUUGAUUCUGGCUCAGGACGAACGCUGGCGGCGUGCUUAACACAUGCAAGUCGAACGGUAAGGCCUUUUCGGGGUACACGAGUGGCGAACGGGUGAGUAACACGUGGGUGAUCUGCCCUGCACUUUGGGAUAAGCCUGGGAAACUGGGUCUAAUACCGAAUAGGACCAUGGACUUCACGGUUUUGUGGUGGAAAGCUUUUGCGGUGUGGGAUGGGCCCGCGGCCUAUCAGCUUGUUGGUGGGGUAAUGGCCUACCAAGGCGACGACGGGUAGCCGGCCUGAGAGGGUGACCGGCCACACUGGGACUGAGAUACGGCCCAGACUCCUACGGGAGGCAGCAGUGGGGAAUAUUGCACAAUGGGCGCAAGCCUGAUGCAGCGACGCCGCGUGAGGGGAUGACGGCCU
RNAcentral lists this ribosomal RNA (405 nucleotides) under uncultured bacterium. Its description in RNAcentral is "bacterial SSU rRNA". It matches the Rfam family "Bacterial small subunit ribosomal RNA", at positions 11 to 417 of the family's 1533-position model. The record is from RNAcentral.